GAGAUCAUGACCUGAGCCAAAGUCGGAUGCUUAACCAUUGACCUACCCAGGUGCCCUACACUAGCCUUUCUAAUUUUUAUACCUUUGAUUUCUUUUUCUUGUCUUAUUGCAUUGACUGGGGCUGCUGGGACAAUACUGAAUAGAAACAUUGAGAGCAGAAAACUUUUUGUCGCUACUAAGUAUGACAUUAGUACAGACUCUGUGUAAAUAUACCUUCAACUUGAAGACAGGUUUGCUGAAUUGUUUUUGUUUUGUUUUGGUAGUUUAUUUUGAGAGAGUGAGCAAGUCAGCAAGGGAUGGGGAGAGAACCAUCACAAGCAGGCUCCACGCUCUAUCUCACAAACUAAGAUCAUGACCUGAGCUGAAAUCAAGAGUUGGAAGCUUAACCGACUGAGCCACCUAGGUGCCCAGGUUUGUGGAGUUUUUAUCAUGAACACAAAUUUUACCAGAUGCCCUUUCUGUAUCUACUUAAAUGAUCUUAUGGUUUUCUGUCUUUAUUCAAUUAUGUGAAUUACACUGAUCCUCCCCCAUCCCCCACUCAGAUACAAAGCUAGUAAUUGCAGAAAUCCUCAAGAACCUCAGCAUCCAAUGUGGGCAGUGACGAGUGCACAGACAUCUGUGGGUUCUCUGCCAGGCUGGGUGGACUAUGGUCAUCCUCUCAGCCAGAGCUGCCUCAAGCAGAAAAAGACCAUCACUGAAUUCUGCAUUAUUUGACUCGUAGCCAGAUCAUUGUACCAGAGAGCAAAUGAGAGAAGGAGAUGCCGCCAGUUUGAGGAGAAAGGUAUGAAUCUACCUAGUUGUCCAAGAGGGCGGGGAACGAAAGACAGUGCAGUGCACACAACACCCCACGCUUCAAUACUGACCGAGUUGCAGGCAUUUGCUCUUUCUAUUUUAGAAAGACCCUUCAAUUCGGUAUCAAAUACAUUCAUCUUCUCUACUAGGCAAGUGAGAGCAGUCUCUGUAGCUUCCCCAACUUUUUCAUACACUCCCUUCGCCUGUAUUGGUUAAAAGCAUAAAGUGAAAAAGCAGUGAAUAAGUUUUUCAUCAAUAAAGACUUCCCAUCAGAGGAGAGCUUGUCUUUCGUUGCACCAUUAUUGUUGGGGCUGUUUUUAUCCUACUCUGGAGCAAAUGAGGCAGACAAAAAUACACUCAAAGCACAUUUUAUCUUAUUCUAAUAACUAUAUUUUUUAUUUCCUUUAACUAUGAGAAGCCAAUAGUCAUAGUAUUAAUUCAAACAACUUUCAAAUAGUAUGUGAAAUUGCAUGUCAUUAUUUAUCAUUCUACAGAGUUCACAUUCAGGUUCUGAUGGAGACUGGCUUGUCUUUUAGAAACCAGUGGGUUAAUCUGUAAGUAAAAAGGGAGGAAAAAAAGGUCUACUGUUUAAAUUUUAUAUUAUUUUAUCUUUAUCAUCAUCAUCAUCAUCAUCAUCAUCAUCAUCAUCAUCAUCAUCAUCACAACAGCCCUCUAAGCCUCAGCUCAUCCUCAAGGAUAUAAUACUACCUAUCUUAAAAAACAAGAUUAAUACCCUCUACUUUCAGGAAAACAUUUCCUCUCCUAGGUUUUCUUCACUUUUGGUAGCCACACUACAAGCCAAAGGAAACAUCGCAUACAUCCUCUUAGUUUAAAAGUGACUGCAACACUCAGAGGAUAUAUGAAAGGUCCUCGGCUUUCUUUGACUAGGUCAUGCUGACUCGGAUAAAAUGGAAAGAGGAAAUAAAAUCAGAAACUGUUACUUUCCAGAGGAAGGAAGGCUGGAUUUUCAUUCCACCCACCCCACCUUUGAGCUAGAAUAGCCAGGUCUACUUUUUCAUUUAUGAGGAGCCUUACCUCAUUGUAAUCCAAUGCAGAAUCAUUACAAAGAGCACAAAUUGUUGCCAAUUCCACAAGACCAUCAUAUUGAUGACAUUUCACUGGUUUAUCAUCUUUAUGCCUAUCAAAAGAAGAAAAACACUUUUAGAGCAUAAUGUGGUCAUCUCUAUUGAUUUUUAUUUAAUUUGUAAUAUAAUUUUGUGGGCAACAGCCUGGCAAGUAUUCAAAAGAAUUUGAGUGAUGGUUCUUAGAAAUCUGAUGCUGGAGACAACAGAAUGUGUCUUUGAUAUUAGGAAUCAACCAGUAAAGACCAGAAGUUCUUAAUUAAUGAAAUUCUUCCACCACAGAUAUCAAUACAGAACAAACCAGCUGAAAAAUUAGGCUCUAAAGCAGAGCUAAAUAAAAAUGAAAAAAGUCACUGACUUAUAACCUGUUUUCUCUUAAAUCUAUACAAGUACCAAACUGCUACAACGGAUCCUUUAAAUGAUAAGCUCAUUUUCUAUGAAGCUGCAUAACUCCAUGUGCACAGUAAGGAGCCUGCAGAACUGACUGAACUGACAUCACCAAGGGAACACAGACAGAAGCAUGCUUAGGUAAGGAUUCUUAAUUUUACAGUGACAUGAGCUAGUUUCUUAAAGAUCAGGUUCCCCCAGCCCCCCUCGGUUUGCUUUUCAAUCAUGAUUUCGAAGCCCGGUUUGGAAGACUCAGAUUUAGACUUGUGUUUUCAUGCAAAUUGAAACUAUAACACCUUCUCAUAAAACACAGAACAAAAACACAAAGUGCUACUUCAACUAUACUUUAUGGUGCCAAAAUGCCUCUGAAAUAUGAACAAUUAAGAACAUGACCAGGGGCGGCCGGGUAGCUCAGUUGGUUGUCUGACUUGAUUUCAGCUCAGGUCAUGACCUUGCCAUUUGUGGGAUCAAGCCCUAUAGUCAGGCUCUGCACUAACAACUUGGAGCCUGCUUGUGAU
Long non-coding RNA from Felis catus (domestic cat), 2779 nucleotides. RefSeq lists it as uncharacterized. NCBI's taxonomy places the organism in Eukaryota, Metazoa, Chordata, Mammalia, Carnivora, Felidae. The transcript is spliced from 3 exons. The record is from RefSeq and is a predicted model, not a curated record.